Molecule: ribosomal RNA, 1137 nt
Filed under: Triticum aestivum (bread wheat)
Lineage: Eukaryota; Viridiplantae; Streptophyta; Magnoliopsida; Poales; Poaceae
Description: partial small subunit ribosomal RNA
Source: RNAcentral
AUGGCAGCCGUGGGUGUCUCUUCACCUCUUCUCCUCCUACUACUCCUUGCUGCCACCAGCGAGGCCAUCACGUUUUACAUCACCAACGGGUGUCCCUACACCAUAUGGCCAGCGGCUCUGCCGAUUGGCCGUGCGUCCCAACUUGACCCAGGCAAGGACUGGACCCUCAACACAGGCCAGCCCAACAGCACGCGCCUGUGGGCACGCACGGGCUGCUCGUUGGACGGCAAUGGCACCGGGAUGUGCCAAACAGGCAACUGCGGCAGCUUGCUCGCCUGCAAAGCCAAUGGUCAGCCACCCAACACCAUCGCGGAGUUUAUGCUCGGCGGCUUCAACAAUCAGGAUUUCUUCGACAUCUCCUUGGUUGAAGGCUUCAACGUGCCCAUGGACUUCCUGCCGGUGCCGGCCAAGGGAGGGCCAGGGUGCAACAAGGGGCCACGCUGCAGAGCUAACAUAGCGGCGCAGUGCCCGACCAGUCUGAAGGCGCCGGGGGGUUGUAACAACCCGUGCACGGUGUUCAAGCACGAUAGGUACUGCUGUACCGGGAGCGCGGCAAGCAACUGCAGCACCACGGACUACUCGGACUUCUUUAAGCAGAUGUGCCCAGAUGCCUACAGCUACCCCAUGGAUGAUUCCACCAGCACUUUCAGUUGCCCGGCGGGCACCAACUACAAGGUAGUCUUUUGUCCCUUGACCAAUCAAGCAGUAUCGCCUAGUCCUCUGCCUGCACCCCCGGCUGAGGUAAAGCCUACUGGGCCAACAACCAUGAAACCCAAAUCCUCCACUAUAAGAACAGUUGUUGCGAUUUUAGCUCCUAUAGGCGGCUUCAUCUUUCUGCAUCUCAUCACUUUCUAUUUAUGUAAACGAAGAAUCCAACGACGGCAUGAGAUGCAGGAAGAGAAAGAGUUUGGGGAGCUACAAGGAACACCAAUGAGGUUCACAUUUCAACAGCUAAAAGCAGCAACCGAGCAAUUCACAGAAAAGCUCGGGGAAGGAGGAUUUGGGUCUGUUUUUAAGGGGCAAUUUGGUGAUGAAAGGAUUGCAGUAAAACGUUUGGAUCGAUCUGAGAAAUCACAUAGGCUCUUGGUAUAUGAGUACAUGAGGAUCCUUGGACAAAUGAAUCUAUUGUCGACAUGA